UGGGUGUGAAACCUACAUAAAAAUCGGGACUGUGUGAGAGAAUGGGAAUGGGUGCUUCCUGGGAAGCCAACAUCUGCUAAGCCCUGCCGUGGGAGAGGCUCUGCAGCUAAACAUGUUCACCCUCAUGACACUCCGUAAGGACAUCACAAAAUACGGAUUCCCAGGCUCUGGCAACUGAAUCAAGUCUGGAAAGGGAGACUGAGAACCUGCAUUUUAAUGAGCUCCUUGGAGAACCCUGAUGUUCAGUCAAGUUGGAAAGCCACUAACUAGAAGUGUCUGGUGAGUUGGCUGGUCUCUGGCCAUAAAGAAAAGCAUCUGAGAGGCUACAAAACAAAUGACAAACUACCCCAAGAAAGAUGAAUCUGUGGGGCAGAGAGCAAUCGGAGAUGGCUUCGAUGUCCCUGAGCAGCGGGAAGGUUUUCACCUUGGCCUGAACCAAUGGAACCAUCAUCAACGGAGCCGUGUGCAGUGGAAAAACUGUUAUCUUCAGAUAGCAGGCUACUCCAGUUUCUUCUCUCUCCUCCUCCCCUCCUCCUCCUCCAAGCUGAUCACAUUUCCUUGGUGAUUUUCAUGCUUCGUCAGUAGGUCUUAGGGGACAAGUAUGAAUUCCAUAGGGACCUUGUCCAUAUAAACUACUCAGUACUUAUGUUCUUUGUAUGAUAUCUUCCUUCCUUUCCUUCUGCCAUAAGCACUGGUUAAACACCUACUAUGUGCUAUGUGGUGAGCACUACUGUAGAGAAGAAAGCCCUUAAACUGCAAUGGGAGCCACCAGGGAGGCUCUGAGGAGACAAAGAUAAUGUCACUGCUCUGAUCUGCAGAAAAAUGCAUUUCAGGUUACUUUCUUCUUUAGAUAUUAAAAGAGCUGUAACUGAGUGGGAGAAAAUUGAGAGCCUGGCAGCUAGAAUACAGGAUUUCCAGGGAAUUCUACAAAAUCAUGUAAAGCCCCCAUACGGUGAACACUAACCAGUCUCGAAUCCAGAAUACAAUUGAGAUCAGCAGAACACCUCCUAGCCUUUCAUUAUUACCAGCGACUGUUUAAAUUG
Camelus dromedarius (Arabian camel) is the source of this 1043-nucleotide long non-coding RNA. RefSeq lists it as uncharacterized. Lineage: Eukaryota; Metazoa; Chordata; Mammalia; Artiodactyla; Camelidae. The record is from RefSeq and is a predicted model, not a curated record. The transcript has 3 exons.